Molecule: long non-coding RNA, 1587 nt
Organism: Ailuropoda melanoleuca (giant panda)
Lineage: Eukaryota; Metazoa; Chordata; Mammalia; Carnivora; Ursidae
Exons: 3
Source: RefSeq, a predicted model, not a curated record
GUGACUCGUCAGGGUCACACAGACGGGACCCAGCUAGAACAGCAGGUGACAAGCAGGACUGCCUGGGCCAGGGAGGCCUGGCUGCACCCGCCUGGCUACCCACAGCUUUGUGCAAGGCGGCUUCCUGUCCCAGUUCCCCGCCCCUCCCGGACCUGCUGCCUCUGACACCCAGAGCCUCCCUCCUCUGGCAGAGGGCAAGGCCAGCAGAGACCGUGCCCGGCUCAGGGUGCGUACAGAGUCCCAGAGAAGGAGGAGAAAGAGGAGGCAAGCCUCUGUAGGAGGUGGUACAGACUCCCCUCCCAGGGUCACUGAGAGCACUGGAUGGGAGAAGCCUGGGGGGCAUUCCUGGAAGGCCCACCUCCCGCAGUGACACCAGGGAGCCCCACUGGCACAGGUAGGACCACAUCAUAAAGGGCUCGCUGUGCACACCCAGCACUGGACUCUGAGCUUACCCAGAACUGCUGCAUUCAAUCCUCAUAGCAGCCCAACGAGGUGGGUACUGCUGUGAUCCUUAUUUUACAGGUGGGGAAACUGAGGCACGGGGAGGUGGAACAGCUUGUCUGAGAUCUCACGCAACCUCCCCCAUCAUCCCUGUGAGCCCACGGCUUAAAUAGGAACCAGAACAAGGCUCGGUCUCCUCAGCCUUGGUCACCGGCCCCGGCCUGGGACAGUAACUGUAAGUAUGCCUUCCACUGGGGAGAGCCUCCAGAGAGGCGUCGGGGCCCCUGUGCCGCCGGACAGGUCCCGGGGAUGCAGGGAGGAUGGAACAGGCUGGGGCUGGACCCCCUGUCAUCAUGGCAACAGCAGUCCCGGAGGUCCCUUUCCACUCCCAAGCCUGCCCCCGGGGCCUCACCAGGACCUACUGGUGAAUACACUUGUGCUCGGUGAGCCGUGUGGAUGGGGAGACCCCAGGAAGGAGCACACCUCUCUUGGCACAGCUCCCGUGUCCCCCUUGUUGGUUGUCUCCUGCCGGCCUCACCACCUUCCCUGUGCUUCCCUUUUUGCAGGUGAGAAAAGUCAGGCCCAGAGAGGGACAGUGGGGAGUCCAGGUUCCCAUAGGGACCUUCUGGAAAGCCAGGUGGGACCAGAGCCCAGAGUUCUAGCCACUCAUCGGGGCUCCAUCCUCUGCAGAGACGCCCAGAACAGAACCGUGCUGGGCCCCCUGUGCUCAUUGGGUCUCAGCGCCCUUGUGCGCCGUGGAAGAUGGGAAACCCUGGAGGGGGCCCUGGCCCAGGCUUUCAGCCGUGCUGCUGAGCCCUCGAUCUAGCCACCAGCUGCUGAGCUCCUUACACGCGCUCCGCCAUCCGAGGCUUAGAGCAAACUUCUGAGGUGGUUACUGAGAUUACUCCCAUUUUACAGAUAAGGAAAUCGGGAACAGAGAAGCUCAUAAUUUGCCCCAAAUUUCACACUCUCCAGGAUUCCAACUGGGGUCACCUAGCUCCAGAAUUCACCCUUCCAAAUCUCUUUCUCCCACCAACAUGAUUCUCUUGGGUCUUAGGGGUCAGCUGGGCAAUGGGAGAAACCCAGCUGGGCUGGCCUCAAGGCCCCUUUGAUGCUGAGUGACCCUGGAGCACUGCUCAACGUCUC